UAACACGUGGGUGACCUGCCUUCGAGCGGGGGAUAACUGCCCGAAAGGGUGGCUAAUACCGCAGAUGUCGUGGAUUCGGUUGCACGACUGAACCGAUAUAGGGUUCGGAGAGGGGCCUGCGCCCGAUUAGCUAGCUGGUGGGGUAACGGCCUACCAGGGCGACGAUCGGUAGCUGGUCUGAGAGGAUGAUCAGCCAGACUGGGACUGCGAGACGGCCCAG
Molecule: ribosomal RNA, 220 nt
Filed under: uncultured bacterium
Lineage: Bacteria
Description: partial 16S ribosomal RNA
Rfam family: Bacterial small subunit ribosomal RNA
Source: RNAcentral